RNAcentral lists this ribosomal RNA (2263 nucleotides) under Moraxella catarrhalis. Its description in RNAcentral is "bacterial LSU rRNA". It matches the Rfam family "Bacterial large subunit ribosomal RNA", at positions 578 to 2829 of the family's 2925-position model. The record is from RNAcentral. Lineage: Bacteria; Pseudomonadati; Pseudomonadota; Gammaproteobacteria; Moraxellales; Moraxellaceae.
AACGAUUAAGUGGUCGGGUGACGGCGUACCUUUUGUAUAAUGGGUCAGCGACUUAUAUUCUGUAGCAAGGUUAACCGAAUAGGGGAGCCGUAGGGAAACCGAGUCUUAAUAGGGCGAUUAAGUUGCAGGGUAUAGACCCGAAACCGAGUGAUCUAUCCAUGAGCAGGUUGAAAGUGCCGUAACAGGCACCGGAGGACCGAACCCACUGUCGUUGAAAAGCCAGGGGAUGACUUGUGGAUAGGGGUGAAAGGCUAAUCAAACUCGGUGAUAGCUGGUUCUCCCCGAAAGCUAUUUAGGUAGCGCCUCGGACGAAUACCAUUGGGGGUAGAGCACUGUUUCGGCUAGGGGGUCACACCGACUUACCAAACCGAUGCAAACUCCGAAUACCGAUGAGUAAUAUCCGGGAGACAGACGGCGGGUGCUAACGUCCGUCGUCAAGAGGGAAACAACCCAGACCGCCAGCUAAGGCCCCAAAUUCCUAGUUAAGUGGGAAACGAUGUGGGAAGGCACAGACAGCUAGGAGGUUGGCUUAGAAGCAGCCACCCUUUAAAGAAAGCGUAAUAGCUCACUAGUCGAGUCGGCCUGCGCGGAAGAUGUAACGGGGCUCAAACUAGGAGCCGAAGCUGCGGAUUUAAUUGUUUCAAUUAAGUGGUAGGGGAGCGUUGUGUAAGCCUGUGAAGGUGCACUGUAAGGUGUGCUGGAGGUAUCACAAGAGCGAAUGCUGACGUGAGUAACGACAAAACGGGUGAAAAGCCCGUUCGCCGGAAGACCAAGGGUUCCAGUCCAACGUUAAUCGGGGCUGGGUGAGUCGACCCCUAAGGCGAGGCCGAAAGGCGUAGUCGAUGGGAAAUCGGUUAAUAUUCCGAUACUUGUUUAUGAUGCGAUGGAGGGACGGAGAAGGUUAUGCCAGCCUGGCGAUGGUUGUCCAGGUGGAAGGAUGUAGUUAGACUGAGUAGGCAAAUCCGCUCGGUUAUUAAUGAGAUCUGAUAGCAAGCCAGUUUACUGGCAAAGUGGCAAAUACCCUGCUUCCAGGAAAAGCUUCUAAGCGAUAGUCAUAAACGAAUCGUACCCGAAACCGACACAGGUGGUCAGGUAGAGAAUACCAAGGCGCUUGAGAGAACUCUGCUGAAGGAACUAGGCAAAAUGGUACCGUAACUUCGGGAGAAGGUACGCUGCCGAUGGUGAUAAGACUUGCUCUUUGAGCUGUUGGCAGUCGCAGAUACCAGGCUGCUGCAACUGUUUAUUAAAAACACAGCACUCUGCAAACACGAAAGUGGACGUAUAGGGUGUGAUGCCUGCCCGGUGCUGGAAGGUUAAUUGAUGGGGUUAGCGUAAGCGAAGCUCUUGAUCGAAGCCCCAGUAAACGGCGGCCGUAACUAUAACGGUCCUAAGGUAGCGAAAUUCCUUGUCGGGUAAGUUCCGACCUGCACGAAUGGCAUAAUGAUGGCAGCGCUGUCUCCAGCAGAGACUCAGUGAAAUCGAAAUCGCAGUGAAGAUGCUGUGUACCCGCGGCUAGACGGAAAGACCCCGUGAACCUUUACUACAGCUUUACAUUGAACUUUGACCUAACUUGUGUAGGAUAGGUGGGAGGCUUUGAAGCAGAUACGCCAGUAUUUGUGGAGCCAACCUUGAAAUACCACCCUGGUUAUGUUGGGGUUCUAACUUAGGAUCAACAAAUCCAAGGACAAUGUAUGGUGGGUAGUUUGACUGGGGCGGUCUCCUCCUAAAGAGUAACGGAGGAGUACGAAGGUGCGCUCAGAACGGUCGGAAAUCGUUCAAAGAGUAUAAAGGCAAAAGCGCGCUUAACUGCGAGACCCACAAGUCGAGCAGGUACGAAAGUAGGUCUUAGUGAUCCGGUGGUUCUGUAUGGAAGGGCCAUCGCUCAACGGAUAAAAGGUACUCUGGGGAUAACAGGCUGAUACCGCCCAAGAGUUCAUAUCGACGGCGGUGUUUGGCACCUCGAUGUCGGCUCAUCUCAUCCUGGGGCUGAAGCAGGUCCCAAGGGUAUGGCUGUUCGCCAUUUAAAGAGGUACGCGAGCUGGGUUUAGAACGUCGUGAGACAGUUCGGUCCCUAUCUACCGUGGGCGUUGGAAAUUUGAGAGGAUCUGCUCCUAGUACGAGAGGACCAGAGUGGACGAACCUCUGGUGUUUCGGUUGUCACGCCAGUGGCAUUGCCGAGUAGCUAUGUUCGGAUGGGAUAACCGCUGAAAGCAUCUAAGCGGGAAGCCCACCUUAAGAUAAGAUUUCCCUAAAGAGCCGUUGU